GACGAACGCUGGCGGCGUGCCUAACACAUGCAAGUCGAACGGGAUCGGGGGCAACUCCGGUUCAGUGGCGGACGGGUGCGUAACACGUGAGGAACAUGAAUUUCGGCGGGGGAUAGCCGGCCCAACGGCCGGGUAAUACCGCGUACGACCCACUGGAGACCUCUCCGUUGGGUGAAAGCAGCAAUGCACCGAAAGAGUGCCUCGCGGCCUAUCAGCUAGUUGGUGGGGUAAUGGCUCACCAAGGCGACGACGGGUAGCUGGUCUGAGAGGAUGGCCAGCCACAUUGGGACUGAGACACGGCCCAGACUCCUACGGGAGGCAGCGAGUGGGGAAUAUUGCGCAAUGGGCGAAAGCCUGACGCAGCGACGCCG
Molecule: ribosomal RNA, 371 nt
Filed under: uncultured bacterium
Lineage: Bacteria
Description: bacterial SSU rRNA
Rfam family: Bacterial small subunit ribosomal RNA
Source: RNAcentral